Molecule: long non-coding RNA, 298 nt
Organism: Pezoporus flaviventris
Lineage: Eukaryota; Metazoa; Chordata; Aves; Psittaciformes; Psittacidae
Exons: 3
Source: RefSeq, a predicted model, not a curated record
AAUGAUCCUGGCUCUGAUAUGGCCCACAUGUAUCACCUUGACUCAGGGUAUAGCUGAGGGAACAACACUUCCUUGGGAUAUAAGAGCAUGGCUCCAGAUGCACUGCCUUGAGACAGACCCCAGCUUUUCUGUCACCCACAUUGCAUAGAAGUCCCCUGGGACACAGCUACAGGAUACUCCACAAUUGUAAACUUAAGCAGAAGAAUAUAUUAAGUCAUUUUCUGUAGACUACAUAGUAGGACUGUAAAAAGAUAAAACCAGGAAAUUGAUGGCAAUCAGCUUCAUGGUGAUGAAACAG